CACACAAGUAAGCUUGCCUAAAUAAUCACAAUGGUCGUCUCUAGGACGCCUCGAGCCAUCGCAGCGCUACUCCUCCUACUUCUCAUCACCUCCUGCGGAGUAGCCACCGCGACCACCACCGCUGCCAAAGCAUUUCCAGCAAUUACACUUGGACGGAGAGCUCUUUACAAACCCAAUGAAAUUAGACGGGUACUUCAAGUAACUGGUACUCCUCCUUAUGCAACAUAUGGACCUUGGCCAGGUAUAGGAGGUUGAUUCACCACUCCCUACCUGGCUCUGCCUUAUUCAAUAUUCCAAACAAGCCGUUGACAAGCAUUUUAUGACAUUUAUAUAUAUAUAUAUAUAUAGAGAGAGAGAGAGAGAGAGAGUUUUAUGCACUUUUGUGUAUUGAAUAAGAAUAUUGUAGGGAAAGAGUCCUAUGUAUAAUUAAUUACACAUCAAUGUUAUAAUUUCCUGCAUAAAUAUAUAUAUAAUAGCUAAUAUAUAUUUGUGGCCACAACAUGAACAAAUAUUUAUUUAAUGAAUUAUA
Molecule: long non-coding RNA, 529 nt
Organism: Tripterygium wilfordii
Lineage: Eukaryota; Viridiplantae; Streptophyta; Magnoliopsida; Celastrales; Celastraceae
Exons: 2
Source: RefSeq, a predicted model, not a curated record